GACGAACGCUGGCGGCGUGCUUAACACAUGCAAGUCGAGCGAUGAAGCUUCUUCGGAAGUGGAUUAGCGGCGGACGGGUGAGUAACACGUGGGUAACCUGCCUCAUAGAGGGGAAUAGCCUUCCGAAAGGAAGAUUAAUACCGCAUAAGAUUGUAGUACCGCAUGGUACAGCAAUUAAAGGAGCAAUACGCUAUGAGAUGGGCCCGCGUCGCAUUAGCUAGUUGGUGAGGUAACGGCUCACCAAGGCGACGAUGCGUAGCCGACCUGAGAGGGUGAUCGGCCACAUUGGGACUGAGACACGGCCCAGACUCCUACGGGAGGCAGCAGUGGGGAAUAUUGCACAAUGGGGGAAACCCUGAUGCAGCAACGCCGCGUGAGUGAUGACGGUCUUCGGAUUGUAAAACUCUGUCUUCAGGGACGAUAAUGACGGUACCUGAGGAGGAAGCCACGGCUAACUACGUGCCAGCCGCCGCAGUAA
RNAcentral lists this ribosomal RNA (478 nucleotides) under uncultured bacterium. RNAcentral's name for it is "partial 16S ribosomal RNA". It matches the Rfam family "Bacterial small subunit ribosomal RNA", at positions 28 to 523 of the family's 1533-position model. The record is from RNAcentral.